Long non-coding RNA from Coregonus clupeaformis (lake whitefish), 428 nucleotides. RefSeq lists it as uncharacterized. The transcript has 3 exons. NCBI's taxonomy places the organism in Eukaryota, Metazoa, Chordata, Actinopteri, Salmoniformes, Salmonidae. The record is from RefSeq and is a predicted model, not a curated record.
UGGAGAUGAAGAUGGAUGCAUUCUCUAAGCAUUGUUUCAGCGAUCUUGCCAUCACAUAUCCUGAACAUUUUCCAAAUGCUGUGAAGGCGGCGUUCCUGGUUGACUGACUGAAUGGCUGCCAAUGUCUUUAAUGAAGUGGAGCCGCAAGCUGAAACAACUGAUCAUCCACGUCAAACACAACACUAAACAACGUCGAGCAGGUUAACAUCAGCCCCAGGUGGCAGGAGGGAGGGAGCCAAGGGCGUCCAAUGCUGGUCUACUGGCCCAAGUCAACAACCUCCAACCCCUCAUUUCAUUAGUGCUGUAAUUGUAGUGCGCAGCAUAGCAUGAGACUAAAUGGGGCGCGGCCACUUGAGUAAGAAGAAGCAGAGCUUCAACAUGUGGGAAUCUGCUUUACCUGGAGUUCAAGAGUUCCCUACCCAGCAUGA